GUCGAGCGAUGAACCACCUUCGGGUGGGGAUUAGCGGCGAACGGGUGAGUAACACGUGGGCAACCUGCCCUCAGCUCUGGGAUAACUCCUCGAAAGAGGGGCUAAUACCGGAUACGACUUCCUGCGGCAUCACGGGAAGUGGAAAGUUUUUCGGCUGAGGAUGGGCCCGCGGCCUAUCAGCUUGUUGGUGGGGUAACGGCCCACCAAGGCGACGACGGGUAGCCGGCCUGAGAGGGCGACCGGCCACACUGGGACUGAGACACGGCCCAGACUCCUACGGGAGGCAGCAGUGGGGAAUAUUGCGCAAUGGGCGAAAGCCUGACGCAGCGACGCCGCGUGAGGGAUGAAGGCCUUCGGGUUGUAAACCUCUUUCAGCAGGGACGAAGCGAAAGUGACGGUACCUGCAGAAGAAGCACCGGCCAACUACGUGCCAGCAGCCGCGGUAAUACGUAGGGUGCAAGCGUUGUCCGGAAUUAUUGGGCGUAAAGAGCUCGUAGGCGGUCUGUCGCGUCGGCUGUGAAAACUCGGGGCUCAACCCCGAGCCUGCAGUCGAUACGGGCAGACUAGAGUGCUGUAGGGGAGACUGGAAUUCCUGGUGUAGCGGUGAAAUGCGCAGAUAUCAGGAGGAACACCGGUGGCGAAGGCGGGUCUCUGGGCAGUAACUGACGCUGANGAGCGAAAGCGUGGGGAGCGAACAGGAUUAGAUACCCUGGUAGUCCACGCCGUAAACGGUGGGUGCUAGGUGUANGGGGUAUUCCACGCCCUCUGUGCCGCAGCUAACGCAUUAAGCACCCCGCCUGGGGAGUACGGCCGCAAGGCUAAAACUCAAANGAAUUGACGGGGGCCCGCACAAGCAGCGGANCAUGUGGCUUAAUUCGACGCANCGCGAANAACCUUACCAAGGCUUGACAUACACCGAAAACUC
This 925-nucleotide ribosomal RNA is filed under the name Frankineae bacterium URHD0048. RNAcentral describes it as "bacterial SSU rRNA". It matches the Rfam family "Bacterial small subunit ribosomal RNA", at positions 61 to 1000 of the family's 1533-position model. Lineage: Bacteria; Bacillati; Actinomycetota; Actinomycetes; Frankiales. The record is from RNAcentral.